RNAcentral lists this unclassified non-coding RNA (342 nucleotides) under soil metagenome. RNAcentral describes it as "partial contains 5.8S ribosomal RNA, internal transcribed spacer 2, and large subunit ribosomal RNA". The stretch from base 1 to 120 matches the Rfam family "5.8S ribosomal RNA", at positions 35 to 154 of the family's 154-position model. The record is from RNAcentral.
GAUGAAGAACGCAGUGAAAUGCGAUAAGUAGUGUGAAUUGCAGAAUUCAGUGAAUCAUCGAAUCUUUGAACGCACAUUGCGCUCUUUGGUAUUCCAAAGGGCAUGCCUGUUCGAGCGUCAUUUGUACCCUCAAGCUUUGCUUGGUGUUGAGCGUCUUGUCUCUAGCUUUGCUGGAGACUCGCCUUAAAGUAAUUGGCAGCCGGCCUACUGGUUUCGGAGCGCAGCACAAGUCGCACUCUCUAUCAGCAAAGGUCUAGCAUCCAUUAAGCCUUUUUUUUCAACUUUUGACCUCGGAUCAGGUAGGGAUACCCGCUGAACUUAAGCAUAUCAAUAAGCGGAGGA